Molecule: ribosomal RNA, 440 nt
Filed under: uncultured bacterium
Lineage: Bacteria
Description: partial 16S ribosomal RNA
Rfam family: Bacterial small subunit ribosomal RNA
Source: RNAcentral
CCUACGUGAGGCAGCAGUGGGGACUAUUGCACAAUGGGGGAAACCCUGAUGCAGCGACGCCGCGUGACGGAAGAAGUAUUUCGGUAUGUAAACUUCUAUCAGCAGGGAAGUACGUGACGGUACCUGACUAAGAAGCCCCGGCUAUCUACGUGCCAGCAGCCGCGGUAAUACGUAGGGGGCAAGCGUUAUCCGGCUUUACUGGGUGUAAAGGGAGCGUAGGCGGCGAUGCAAGGCAGAUGUGAAAUCCUGGGGCGCAACUCCGGGAGUGUUUUUGAAACUGUAUGGCUAGAUUGCAGGAGAGGCAAGUGGAAUGCGUAGUGUAGCGGUGAAAUGCGUAGAUAUUAGGAGGAACACCAGUGGCGAAGGCGGCUUGCUGGACUGUAAAUGACGCUGAGGCUCGAAAGCGUGGGGAGCAAACAGGAUUAGAUACCCCUGUAGUC